RNAcentral lists this ribosomal RNA (429 nucleotides) under Gemmatimonadota bacterium. RNAcentral's name for it is "Gemmatimonadetes bacterium partial 16S ribosomal RNA". It matches the Rfam family "Bacterial small subunit ribosomal RNA", at positions 355 to 776 of the family's 1533-position model. The record is from RNAcentral. Lineage: Bacteria; Pseudomonadati; Gemmatimonadota.
UAGGGAAUCUUCGGCAAUGGACGAAAGUCUGACCGAGCAACGCCGCGUGAGUGAAGAAGGUUUUCGGAUCGUAAAACUCUGUUGUUAGAGAAGAACAAGGACGUUAGUAACUGAACGUCCCCUGACGGUAUCUAACCAGAAAGCCACGGCUAACUACGUGCCAGCAGCCGCGGUAAUACGUAGGUGGCAAGCGUUGUCCGGAUUUAUUGGGCGUAAAGCGAGCGCAGGCGGUUUCUUAAGUCUGAUGUGAAAGCCCCCGGCUCAACCGGGGAGGGUCAUUGGAAACUGGGGGACUUGAGUGCGGAAGAGGGGGGUGGAAUUCGAUGUGUAGCGGUGAAAUGCGUAGAUAUAGGGAGGAACACCAGUGGCGAGGGCGGCUCUCUGGUCUGUAACUGACGCUGAGGCUCGAAAGCGUGGGGAGCAAACAGG